AACGAACGCUGGCGGCAUGCCUAACACAUGCAAGUCGAACGAGACCUUCGGGUCUAGUGGCGCACGGGUGCGUAACGCGUGGGAACCUGCCCUUAGGUUCGGAAUAACUCCCCGAAAGGGGUGCUAAUACCGGAUAAUGUCUUCGGACCAAAGAUCUAUCGCCUUUGGAUGGGCCCGCGUUGGAUUAGCUAGUUGGUAGGGUAAAAGCCUACCAAGGCGACGAUCCAUAGCUGGUCUGAGAGGAUGAUCAGCCACACUGGGACUGAGACACGGCCCAGACUCCUACGGGAGGCAGCAGUGGGGAAUAUUGGACGAUGGGCGAAAGCGUGAUACAGCAAUGCCGCGUGAGUGAUGAAGGCCUUAGGGUUGUAAAGCUCUUUUACCCGGGAUGAUAAUGACAGUACCGGGAGAAUAAGCACCGGCUAACUCCGUG
Molecule: ribosomal RNA, 433 nt
Filed under: uncultured bacterium
Lineage: Bacteria
Description: partial 16S ribosomal RNA
Rfam family: Bacterial small subunit ribosomal RNA
Source: RNAcentral